Non-coding RNA from Pseudophryne corroboree (corroboree frog), 81 nucleotides. The record is from the annotation of a RefSeq genome assembly. Lineage: Eukaryota; Metazoa; Chordata; Amphibia; Anura; Myobatrachidae.
GUAGUUGUGGCCGAGUGGUUAAGGCGAUGGACUUGAAAUCCAUAGGGGUUUCCCGCCCAGGUUCAAAUCCUGACAGCUACG